GAUCCUGGCUCAGGAUGAACGCUGGCGGCGUGCCUAACACAUGCAAGUCGAACGAGCAAAUACAUUUGAUUUCUUCGGAAUGAAGAUGUAGGCGCGAGUGGCGGACGGGUGAGUAACGCGUGAGUAAUCGUGCCUCAUACAGGAGAAUAACACUAAGAAAUUGGUGCUAAUACUCCAUAAGCUCACAUUAUGACAUCAUAGAGUGAGAAAAGAUUUAUCGGU
Molecule: ribosomal RNA, 222 nt
Filed under: uncultured bacterium
Lineage: Bacteria
Description: partial 16S ribosomal RNA
Rfam family: Bacterial small subunit ribosomal RNA
Source: RNAcentral